GCAGCCGAGGGAGGCGGCUGAGGCGGCGGCGGCCCUUUAUUGCCGCCCACCCGGCUCCGCGCCCCCUGCGGUCGGGGGCUGGGGGGGUCGGCGCCCGCUCUGCCCUUGACCCCGCUCACUGUCCGUGGCCCUCCCGCCGCCCGGAGGCCCAGACUGGAGCUCACCUCCUUGAAAAGGUAGAUGUACAAUACUAACGCCGCGGGGAAUGUGUUACAGUCAGAUGGUGCUGGGGGCGUCUGAGAAGCCCGAAUUUGUAAAUAAAUAAAAGGGGUACUACCCCCCCCAAUCCAAUGCUCUACUAAAAAAAUUAAACUGGACAAAUAGCCUUCUUGUGUGUGCGGUAUUCAAGAUACCUGGAAUAGGACAGAAAGGUUUUACUGCUACGGGAUUCCUAUUGCAUCCAAAAUGGAGGACCUACCAAUACUGCAGGAAUCCAUUCAAAACUUUGAUGUUCCUUAUAAAAUGGGCUACGAUUCAAAAGAUCUUUAUGAAUGCUGGGAAUAUGUGCACCUUGAAAUGAAAAGCAAACGUAAUAUAGUCAUCCCUUGGUCAAUGCCUGACUUGUCUGGAGAACAGCAUAACCUGUUUUUCGCUGUGAAAAGCCUCCUGAUUCCAGAGCUCAACAAAGACAAUGUGCUUUUUGGAAGGAAGCCCUGCAAGAAGCAGUGACCUAGAGCUGUGGCACCGGACCAGGGUGGCCUCGGGUAGGAAAAAGCAGGGUGCCUCUGCCCUAAACAUGGUGUACUUGGAGAACACUAAUUUCCACCCACAUAGCUAAUUACAGCUUGCCAUCACAGAGCAUUUUAUUCAAGGAUCUCCAAGGACUGAAGAGAAAACAGCCUUGUCAGUCAAGUGUCCUUGUUGCCAUAUGACAAAAGACAGAGAAAUAUACAUAUCAAGCAACCCCAUGCAUUAUAUGUACAAAGCCAUGAUGCCAUGAUUAGCAAACAUCUCGACUAUGAGGUACACUGUAUAUACAUGACUGUAGUUUAAAAUGCUUACACCUCAAGAGUUCAACAAGUUAAAGAACAUUUGCUAUGGAAGCCUUCAUUCUUGAUUUUAAAAGAGUAUUAAUGUGUAUUGAAUCAUCUUGGGGGGAAUUAAGAUGCAAAUUCAACCAUAUUCACGCCAAUUUUCCUUAGUCCAUUCCUACCAACACAGUAAAUACAACAGCGCCUAUGUUCAGAUCAAAAUCACCAGAACCAAAGAGGUGGAGAUACCACUGUAAUGACUCAAACUCUCUUGUCAGAGACAAGAAACACAAUAAAAUAUUACUUGGAAA
Long non-coding RNA from Microtus ochrogaster (prairie vole), 1282 nucleotides. RefSeq lists it as uncharacterized. Lineage: Eukaryota; Metazoa; Chordata; Mammalia; Rodentia; Cricetidae. The record is from RefSeq and is a predicted model, not a curated record. The transcript is spliced from 2 exons.